UACGGGGGGAGCAAGCGUUGUUCGGAUUUACUGGGCGUAAAGGGCGCGUAGGCGGUCGUGACAAGUCACUUGUGAAAUCUCCGGGCUUAACUCGGAACGGUCAAGUGAUACUGUCGGACUAGAGUACAGAAGGGGCAACUGGAAUUCUCGGUGUAGCGGUGAAAUGCGUAGAUAUCGAGAGGAACACCUGCGGCGAAGGCGGGUUGCUGGGCUGAUACUGACGCUGAGGUGCGAAAGCCAGGGGAGCGAACGGG
This 254-nucleotide ribosomal RNA is filed under the name uncultured bacterium. Its description in RNAcentral is "partial 16S ribosomal RNA". It matches the Rfam family "Bacterial small subunit ribosomal RNA", at positions 524 to 776 of the family's 1533-position model. The record is from RNAcentral.